GCGCCCGUAGCUCAGCUGGAUAGAGCGCCGGACUACGAAUCCGUAGGUCGGGGGUUCGAAUCCCUCCGGGCGCA
This 74-nucleotide transfer RNA is filed under the name Candidatus Desulfofervidus auxilii. It matches the Rfam family "tRNA". From Rfam's summary of the family: Transfer RNA (tRNA) molecules are approximately 80 nucleotides in length. Their secondary structure includes four short double-helical elements and three loops (D, anti-codon, and T loops). Lineage: Bacteria; Pseudomonadati; Thermodesulfobacteriota; Candidatus Desulfofervidia; Candidatus Desulfofervidales; Candidatus Desulfofervidaceae. The record is from Rfam by way of RNAcentral.